Drosophila melanogaster (fruit fly) is the source of this 1887-nucleotide non-coding RNA. The record is from Ensembl. NCBI's taxonomy places the organism in Eukaryota, Metazoa, Arthropoda, Insecta, Diptera, Drosophilidae.
CUCGGUUCGGUUGGGUUUGGUUCGCUUCGUUUUGUUUCGUACCGUUUCGUUUGCUCGUUGGCUGCUUUUGCCAGCGGAGCAGCAGUCAGUCGGUGGCCCCAAUCCUUGCCCCGCACCUUCCGCCCUCAUCCACUUACAAUAUGGCAAACUAACAGACUGUCAGACUGACUGGCAAUCCGACGCAGCAACAGAGCAACAGACCAACAGCCACUGGCAGCAGUAAAAGCGAAAAAACGAACAACGAACGAACAACAACAGCCAACGUUGGCAGUCAACCACUUUGAGUGCUCAGACAAAUGUCCCAUUAAUCGCACACUGGGCUCCAACCGAAAACACACGGCCCAGAGUCGCAGCCAGAGCUGCCAGAACCGGCAAGAGCCAGAGCCACAGCCACAGCCAGGGCAAUAGCUAAAGCAAAAGCCAAAGCCAUAGCCAGAGCCAGAGCCAGGCCAGACCAGACCAAAGCGAUCCAAUCCGACCGACCCUACUCGACUCAACUCGACUCGUUUCGAGCAACGUUUCGAUUCGUUCGUGGUGUGUAUCCAAACGAGUGAACUGAAAAACAAGCGCACAAUCACACGACUCUCUGUAUGUAUAAAAUUUGUAUGCGUUCGAAACGAGGCAGUACACUGAAACAUAAGCUGGGCGGCCUUUUGAUAGGAUAUUAUAAAGAACCAUUACCUUGCCAUUUUCAUUAAAUUAUUGUUUCUGAUCAAGUCACUCAUCAAAAGACUGAACUUUGGCCUAAGAUUCCAAACCCAGAGUAAUCAUAUAUUUCUUUCAAAGAAUUCUUCUCUGUGCAUCAGCGCCAACUGAAAUGAACGUUCUUUUUAUUUCGACUUUAUUUUUGCCUUUUUUACUGGCUGCGCCGCCUGUUAAAAUGAAAAACGAUGAUGAUGCCGCCGCCGCCGCCGCUGCUGCUGCCAACAAUAACAACAACGACAACGCAGCAGAGUCGCAGGCACAGCAAUGAGUGGAGCACUAAAAUCCCAGCAACAACGGACGAAGAAAAACCGGCAAAAUUGUUCAUUGGCAGUUGGAAGGCACCAUAAUGAAGGGGCACAGGGCACGGGGAAGAUGGGGGGACCCGGUUGCGGAAAGGCCGUGCCAUGUGGCUCUGGGGCUUUUGGGCUCGCAAUCGCAAUAGCAAUAGCAAUGGCAUUCGCAUGCCGGUGGUUUGAGUUUGGGCCCAAAGCCCCAACCGUGUGCACUGCACCACAGACAAUUUCGGCUGGCAUUAAAUGAAUGCAGCAGUUGUGUGCUGCUGGCGGCUGGCUGGCCCGCAAAUUUCAGAUGCUGAUAGGCAUACAGAUAGAUAGUCAUGCCAAUUGCCCACAGAGCAGAGAGAAUAUGACGCAGAACAGUCGACUUGAAAUAAGUUUCUAAACUAGGACACGUCGAUGGGGCUGGCUGUGUGCUCUUGAAAAUCAAUGGGACUGCCACCAGCCACUGGGUGGCUUAAAUAACACGCUAUAUAGAAAAGGUGUCCCAACUGCCGCAGAAAGAGGAAAGCGGCGGCUAAAAGCCAUCAGUAGUUAAAUAUUAUUGCUGGCAGUUGGCUUUUGUUCAGCAACACACGGCGAAUUUAAAGCGGCUUACAAAAUGCAAUUCGAAAUCGACCAGCUUAAAUAACAAUGGACGGGCGGCAGGGACUUCCCCCGACUUUGGAAGUUUGGAGUGGCUUAAAACCAGCAUUGGCUGCGGCUGAUUACAGUUUUCGUUCGGUUUCGGCUCGUUUUCAGUUGGUUUCAGUGUUGAAUUGGCCAGAAACGCGGAUUUAACCUUGCAACACCCAAUUAAAACGCAAAGGAAAACCGAUUGGUUUGAUUUUGUAAAGUGUUUUGAGUGCACUGGGUUGAGACAACAAAUAUACUAUAUUAUAUUGAC